CCUCAUCCAUUCAUCUGUUGAUGGGCAUCUAGGUUAGUUCCAUAGCCUAGCUAUUGUGAAUCGUGCUGCUGUAAACAUGGAUGUGGCUGUUUAACUCCUUCGGAUAUAUACCAAAGAGUGGGAUAACUGGGUCAAAUGGUGGUUCCAUUCCUAGUUUUUUGAAGAAUCUCCAUACUGCUUUCCAGAGUGGUUGCACUAAUUUCCAGUCCCACCAACAAUGUAUUUUCCCCACAUCCUCAACAAUGUUUAUUGUCACUCAUAUACUUGACAGUUGGUGUUCUGUUUGGAGUGAGGUGAAAUCUC
Molecule: long non-coding RNA, 303 nt
Filed under: Marmota monax (woodchuck)
Lineage: Eukaryota; Metazoa; Chordata; Mammalia; Rodentia; Sciuridae
Source: RNAcentral